RNAcentral lists this ribosomal RNA (491 nucleotides) under uncultured bacterium. RNAcentral's name for it is "partial 16S ribosomal RNA". It matches the Rfam family "Bacterial small subunit ribosomal RNA", at positions 28 to 507 of the family's 1533-position model. The record is from RNAcentral.
GAUGAACGCUGGCUACAGGCUUAACACAUGCAAGUCGAGGGGAAACGACGGGGAAGCUUGCUUCCCCGGGCGUCGACCGGCGCACGGGUGAGUAACGCGUAUCCAACCUGCCUCUGACUGAGGGAUAACCCGUCGAAAGUCGGCCUAAUACCUCAUGGUAUCGUCUGCGGGCAUCCAACGACGAUUAAAGAUUUCAUCGGUCAGGGGUGGGGAUGCGUCUGAUUAGCUUGUUGGCGGGGUAACGGCCCACCAAGGCUACGAUCAGUAGGGGUUCUGAGAGGAAGGUCCCCCAGAUUGGAACUGGGACACGGUCCAAACUCCUACGGGAGGCAGCAGUGAGGAAUAUUGGUCAAUGGGCGAGAGCCUGAACCAGCCAAGUAGCGUGCAGGAAGACGGCCCUAUGGGUGGUAAACUGCUUUUAGGCGGGGAUAAAGUGAGGGACGUGUCCCUCAUUGCAGGUACCGCAUGAAUAAGGACCGGCUAAUUCCGUG